Molecule: ribosomal RNA, 253 nt
Filed under: uncultured bacterium
Lineage: Bacteria
Description: partial 16S ribosomal RNA
Rfam family: Bacterial small subunit ribosomal RNA
Source: RNAcentral
UACGGAGGGUGCAAGCGUUAUCCGGAUUCACUGGGUUUAAAGGGUGCGUAGGCGGGUUGGUAAGUCCGUGGUGAAAUCUCCAAGCUUAACUUGGAAACUGCCGUGGAUACUAUCAAUCUUGAAUAUCGUGGAGGUAAGCGGAAUAUGUCAUGUAGCGGUGAAAUGCUUAGAUAUGACAUAGAACACCAAUUGCGUAGGCAGCUUACUACACGAUCAUUGACGCUGAGGCACGAAAGCGUGGGGAGCAAACGGG